GUAGUUGCCCAGCAGGGAGAGUAUCAUGAUCGAGAGGGUGGUUUUCCCAGGGUGAGGCUCACACUUCGUACUCCGGUGUGCUGACUCCUUCAAUUUCCCCAAAUGCAGAUAAGUUGAUUACAUCAUUUGUGGUAGUGGAGAACUGUGUUUGUGUUCACACACA
Molecule: small nuclear RNA, 163 nt
Organism: Peromyscus leucopus (white-footed mouse)
Lineage: Eukaryota; Metazoa; Chordata; Mammalia; Rodentia; Cricetidae
Product: U1 spliceosomal RNA
Exons: 1
Source: RefSeq, a predicted model, not a curated record